ACGGAGGAUCCGAGCGUUAUCCGGAUUUAUUGGGUUUAAAGGGUGCGUAGGCGGUUUGAUAAGUUAGAGGUGAAAGCUCGAUGCUCAACAUCGAAAUUGCCUCUGAUACUGUCAGACUAGAGUGUAGUUGCGGAAGGCGGAAUGUGUGGUGUAGCGGUGAAAUGCUUAGAUAUCACACAGAACACCGAUUGCGAAGGCAGCUUUCCAAGCUAUUACUGACGCUGAGGCACGAAAGCGUGGGUAGCGAACAG
RNAcentral lists this ribosomal RNA (251 nucleotides) under uncultured bacterium. Its description in RNAcentral is "partial 16S ribosomal RNA". It matches the Rfam family "Bacterial small subunit ribosomal RNA", at positions 525 to 775 of the family's 1533-position model. The record is from RNAcentral.